RNAcentral lists this ribosomal RNA (253 nucleotides) under uncultured bacterium. RNAcentral's name for it is "partial 16S ribosomal RNA". It matches the Rfam family "Bacterial small subunit ribosomal RNA", at positions 524 to 776 of the family's 1533-position model. The record is from RNAcentral.
UACGUAGGGUGCAAGCGUUAAUCGGAAUUACUGGGCGUAAAGCGUACGCAGGCGGCUUUGCAAGACAGGUGUGAAAUCCCCGGGCCUAACCUGGGAACUGCAUUUGUGACUGCAUAGCUAGAGUUUGUCAGAGGGGGGUGGAAUUCCACGUGUAGCAGUGAAAUGCGUAGAUAUCAGGAAGAACACCAAUGGCGAAGGCAGCUCUCUGGGACGGUACUGACGCUGAGACGCGAAAGCGUGGGGAGCGAACAGG